Molecule: transfer RNA, 93 nt
Filed under: Clostridium botulinum E3 str. Alaska E43
Lineage: Bacteria; Bacillati; Bacillota; Clostridia; Eubacteriales; Clostridiaceae
Also listed under: 1 other name
Description: tRNA-Ser
Rfam family: tRNA
About the family: Transfer RNA (tRNA) molecules are approximately 80 nucleotides in length.
Source: RNAcentral
UGGAGAAUUACUCAAGUGGCUGAAGAGGCGCCCCUGCUAAGGGCGUAGGUCGGGCAACUGGCGCCCGGGUUCAAAUCCCGGAUUCUCCGCCAG